UUGGAGGGCAAGUCUGGUGCCAGCAGCCGCGGUAAUUCCAGCUCCAAUAGCGUAUAUUAAAGUUGUUGCAGUUAAAAAGCUCGUAGUUGAAUUUCGGGAUCAGAGUGUCGGUCGUGCCUCGGUACGCACUGGUAUUAUUGGUUCCUACCUUCUGAAGAACCGCGGUGUCAUUAAUUUGGUGUCGUGGGGAAUCAGGGCUGUUACUUUGAAAAAAUUAGAGUGUUUAAAGCAGGCUUACGCUUGAAUACAUUAGCAUGGAAUAAUGAAAUAGGACGUUUGAUUCUAUUUUGUUGGUUUCUAGGAUUGACGUAAUGAUUAAUUGGGAUAGUUGGGGGCAUUAGUAUUCAAUUGUCAGAGGUGAAAUUCUUGGAUUUAUUGAAGACUAACUACUGCGAAAGCAUUUGCCAAGGGUGUUUUCAUUAAUCAAGAACGAAAGUUAGGGGAUCGAAGACGAUCAGAUACCGUCGUAGUCUUAACCAUAAACUAUGCCGACUAGGGAUCGGAUGAUGUUAAUUUUUUAAUGACUCAUUCGGCGCCUUACGGGAAAC
RNAcentral lists this ribosomal RNA (548 nucleotides) under uncultured Glomeromycotina. RNAcentral's name for it is "SSU rRNA". It matches the Rfam family "Eukaryotic small subunit ribosomal RNA", at positions 548 to 1098 of the family's 1831-position model. The record is from RNAcentral. Lineage: Eukaryota; Fungi; Glomeromycota.